AAAAAAGGAAAAUAUGACAAUUUUUCAGCAGUACGUAUUUUUUUACCCUUUGUAUUUUGUUUAUACAAUCAUAAAGUGAUUAUGAACCAGAGAUUUCUAUUAAAUACUGUAAGCGAAAUAAUUAUAUUAAGUAAAUCCUCAAUUAUAUAAAUCAAUCAAACAUGUAAUCAAUAACAAACAUUCACAUUAAAUACUUUAGAAAGAUAUGUAUUGAACAUCAAAAUUAAUUAAAUAUAUACUUAUAUCCUUAAGAACAUAAAAUGUUAUCUUCUAUAUUCUGAUAAUUAAACAAUUAACAUACGUUAUAAAGAUUAAAAAAUAUGCUAAAAUACUAAAUAUAAGUAGAAAAUGAAAAAGAAAAAAAAGAAAAUAGAAUAAUUACAAGAAAAUGAAUAAGAGAUCAUAAGGUAUAAAGGAAACCAACUCAAUCAUUUUUCCAGUGUUACAUUAGCAUCACCUUUAUUAUUUUAAGAUCCUUAUAAUCCUAACAAACAUCUCAAUAUCAUCAAAGCUAUACGAAAAACCCUAUCAUAAUCAUUGGUGACGCAAGAAUAAAAUUGAAUAUAAGAGUAAACACAUAUGAAUAGAGUGACAAAAUAAAAAAGUUAGAGAUGUGUAACCUUCAAAAGAUCAACCUAUAUCAGAAAUCACUUGAUCUGUACAUUUGAUAGAUAAGAAAAAAAAUUACUCAUAAAAGAUAGUAAAAAAAGGAAAAUAUGACAAUUUUUCAGCAGUACGUAUUUUUUUACACUUUGUAUUUUGUUUAUACAAUCAUAAAGUGAUGAUGAACCAGAGAUUUCUAUUAAAUAAUUUAAACUAAAUAUUUCUAUUAAGUACAUCCUCAAUUAUAAAAAUCAAUCAAACAUGUAAUGAGUAACAAACCUUGACAUUAAUUAGUUUAGAAAGAUAUGUAUUGAACAUCAAAAUUAAUUAAAUAUAUACUUAUAUCCUAAAGAACAUAAAAUGUCAUCUUCUAUAUUCUGAUAAUUAAACAAUUAACAUAAGUUAUAUAGAUUAAAAAAUAUGCUAAAAUACUAAUUAUAAGUAGAAAAUGAAAAAGAAAAAAAGAAAAAAGAAUAAUUACAAGAAAAUGAAAAAGAAAAAAAGAAAAUAGAAUAAUUACAAGACAAUGAAAAUGAGACCGUAUGUAUUAAAGGAAACCAACCCAAUCAUUUUUCUAGUGUUACAUUAGCACCAACUUUAUUAUUGUGAGAUCCUCAUAAUCCUAACAAACAUCUCAAUCUCAUCAAAACAAUACGAAAAACCCUAUCAUAAUCAUUGGUGAUGCAAGAAUAAAAUUGAAAAUAAGAGGAAACACAGAUGAAUAGAGUGACAAAAUAAACAAGUUAGAGAUGUGUAACCUUCAAAAGAUUAACCUAUAUCAGAAAUCAAUUGUUCCGUACAUUUGAUAGAUAAGAAAGAAAAUUACUCAUAAAAGAUAGAAAAAAAAGGAAAAUAUGACAAUUUUUCAGCAGUACGUAUUUUUUUACCCUUUGUAUUUUGUUUAUACAAUCAUAAAGUGAUUAUGAACCAGAGAUUUCUAUUAAAUAUUGUAAGCUAAAUAAUUAUAUUAAGUAAAUCCUCAAUUAUAUAAAUCAAUCAAACAUUUAUUGAGUAACAAACCUUGACAUUAACUAGUUUAGAAAGAUAUGUAUUGAACAUCAAAAUUAAUUAAAUAUAUACUUAUAUCCUAAAGAACAUAAAAUGUCAUCUUCUAUAUUCUGAUAAUUAAACGAUU
RNAcentral lists this long non-coding RNA (1738 nucleotides) under Lathyrus oleraceus (garden pea). RNAcentral describes it as "Pisum sativum (pea) long non-coding RNA (PSAT_LNC040561)". Lineage: Eukaryota; Viridiplantae; Streptophyta; Magnoliopsida; Fabales; Fabaceae. The record is from RNAcentral.